CCUACGGGGGGCAGCAGUGAGGAAUAUUGGUCAAUGGACGAGAGUCUGAACCAGCCAAGUAGCGUGAAGGAUGACUGCCCUAUGGGUUGUAAACUUCUUUUAUAUGGGAAUAAAAUGUUCCACGUGUGGGAUUUUGUAUGUACCAUAUGAAUAAGGAUCGGCUAACUCCGUGCCAGCAGCCGCGGUAAUACGGAGGAUCCGAGCGUUAUCCGGAUUUAUUGGGUUUAAGGGGAGCGUAGGUGGAUUGUUAAGUCAGUUGUGAAAGUUUGCGGCUCAACCGUAAAAUUGCAGUUGAAACUGGCAGUCGUGAGUACAGUAGAGGUGGGCGGAAUUCGUGGUGUAGCGGUGAAAUGCUUAGAUAUCACGAAGAACUCCGAUUGCGAAGGCAGCUCACUGGACUGCAACUGACACUGAGGCGCGAAAGCGUGGGGAGCAAACAGGAUUAGAUACCCUAGUAGUC
This 460-nucleotide ribosomal RNA is filed under the name uncultured bacterium. Its description in RNAcentral is "partial 16S ribosomal RNA". It matches the Rfam family "Bacterial small subunit ribosomal RNA", at positions 338 to 795 of the family's 1533-position model. The record is from RNAcentral.